AUGACUGACCUACGUGGGAACCUUGACAUACAUGCCAUUGCGGACGUCCUAAAAGUUUGGCCUCUUAUCACUGGGCAGAGCUUGACGGAGCAGCCAGACUCUUUCAGGUGGAGGCAAACAUCAGAUGGAUCAUAUUCAGCAAGUAGCGCUUAUCAUCUCUUCUUCCUUGGUCGGGAGUUUCUCCCUGGCACUGCGGAGUUUUGGACUUCAUGGGCACCUUUGGAAAUAAAGAUUUUUGUCUGGCUGGCCCUCCACGAUCGGCUAUGGACCGCGGAUCGCCUUGCAAGACGGCAACUCGAGCACCCGGAUUGCUGCGUGCUUUGCUCUCAAGAGGAGGAGAACCUGAAUCACAUUUUGCUUGGUUGCUCCUUUGCCAGGGAAGUGUGGUACAAUAUCUUACUCCUAUGGCGUUUGCAUAGACGAACUCCAACCUCAACUGACACUAUCAAGGAAUGGUGGCCGGCGCUAAGCAAUGCGGUUCCUAGUAGAAGUCGUCGCAAGGUUAACACCAUGGUUUGUCUUGUGCUCCGAUCCAUCUGGCUUGAGCAUAACAGGAGGGUUUUUGACAAGAUCGCGCUCAUGCCGCAUGUGGUAGCUAGCAAUAUCCAAAGUGAGUUCCGAUUGUGGAUUAAAGCAAAAAUAGGUGGGCUGGCGCGAGACAUUACGUAG
This 669-nucleotide ribosomal RNA is filed under the name Triticum aestivum (bread wheat). Its description in RNAcentral is "partial small subunit ribosomal RNA". Lineage: Eukaryota; Viridiplantae; Streptophyta; Magnoliopsida; Poales; Poaceae. The record is from RNAcentral.